Molecule: transfer RNA, 72 nt
Filed under: Actinomycetota bacterium
Lineage: Bacteria; Bacillati; Actinomycetota
Description: tRNA-Asn
Rfam family: tRNA
About the family: Transfer RNA (tRNA) molecules are approximately 80 nucleotides in length. Their secondary structure includes four short double-helical elements and three loops (D, anti-codon, and T loops).
Source: RNAcentral
GGGGCGGUAGCUCAAUGGUAGAGCAGGUGACUGUUAAUCAUCCGGUCGCGGGUUCGAUUCCCGUCCGCCCCG